GAUGAAGAACGUAGCGAAAUGCAAUAAGUAAUGCGAAUUGCAGAAUCCGUGAGUCAUCGAAUCUUUGAACGCACAUUGCGCCCUUUGGUAUUCCGAAGGGCAUGCCUGUUCGAGCGUCAUUAUCACCACUCAAGCCCGGCUUGCUGUUGGUGGCAGCGCAGCCGGUCAACCGGCUACGCUCCACCCAAAGAUAAUGACGGCGUCUGCGAGGACUCCUGUACAUUGAGCUUUCGGGCACGUACAUGGCUAGAAGUCCAGGCGCCGGUCGACGUCCUCCGGGACACUUUUUACCAAGGUUGACCUCGGAUCAGGUAGGGAUACCCGCUGAACUUAAGCAUAUCAAUAAGCGGAGGA
Molecule: unclassified non-coding RNA, 354 nt
Filed under: soil metagenome
Description: partial contains 5.8S ribosomal RNA, internal transcribed spacer 2, and large subunit ribosomal RNA
Rfam family: 5.8S ribosomal RNA (bases 1-119)
Source: RNAcentral